AUUGAACGCUGGCGGCAUGCCUUACACAUGCAAGUCGAACGGUAACGGGCCUUCGGGUGCCGACGAGUGGCGAACGGGUGAGUAAUACAUCGGAACGUGCCCGAUCGUGGGGGAUAACGAGGCGAAAGCUUUGCUAAUACCGCAUACGAUCUACGGAUGAAAGCGGGGGACCGCAAGGCCUUGCCCGGCCGGAGCGGCCGAUGGCAGAUUAGGUAGUUGGUGGGAUAAAAGCUUACCAAGCCGACGAUCUGUAGCUGGUCUGAGAGGAUGAUCAGCCACACUGGGACUGAGACACGGCCCAGACUCCUACGGGAGGCAGCAGUGGGGAAUUUUGGACAAUGGGCGCAAGCCUGAUCCAGCCAUGCCGCGUGCAGGAUGAAGGCCUUCGGGUUGUAAACUGCUUUUGUACGGAACGAAAAGCCUUCUUUUAAUACAGGAGGGUCAUGACGGUACCGUAAGAAUAAGCACCGGCUAACUACGUG
RNAcentral lists this ribosomal RNA (482 nucleotides) under uncultured bacterium. RNAcentral describes it as "partial 16S ribosomal RNA". It matches the Rfam family "Bacterial small subunit ribosomal RNA", at positions 30 to 507 of the family's 1533-position model. The record is from RNAcentral.